UGCCAGCAGCCGCGGUGACACGUAGGCUCCAAGCGUUGUCCGGAUUUAUUGGGCGUAAAGAGCUCGUAGGCGGUUGAGUAAGUCGGGUGUGAAAACUCUGGGCUUAACCCGGAGACGCCAUCCGAUACUGCUCUGACUAGAGUUCAGGAGGGGAGUGGGGAAUUCCUAGUGUAGCGGUGAAAUGCGCAGAUAUUAGGAGGAACACCGGUGGCGAAGGCGCCACUCUGGACUGAAACUGACGCUGAGGAGCGAAAGCAUGGGUAGCAAACAGGAUUAGAUACCCUGGUAGUCCAUGCCGUAAACGGUGGGCACUAGGUGUGGGUUCCAACUAACGGGAUCCGCGCCGUCGCUAACGCAUUAAGUGCCCCGCCUGGGGAGUACGGUCGCAAGACUAAAACUCAAAGAAAUUGACGG
This 414-nucleotide ribosomal RNA is filed under the name uncultured Acidimicrobiaceae bacterium. RNAcentral's name for it is "bacterial SSU rRNA". It matches the Rfam family "Bacterial small subunit ribosomal RNA", at positions 506 to 916 of the family's 1533-position model. The record is from RNAcentral. Lineage: Bacteria; Bacillati; Actinomycetota; Acidimicrobiia; Acidimicrobiales; Acidimicrobiaceae.